This 335-nucleotide long non-coding RNA is filed under the name Chinchilla lanigera (long-tailed chinchilla). RNAcentral describes it as "lncRNA (ENSCLAG00000027259.1)". The record is from RNAcentral. Lineage: Eukaryota; Metazoa; Chordata; Mammalia; Rodentia; Chinchillidae.
GUUACUUAUGUAAUGAGCCAUCUUACAUAUUUCAUGUAUAACUCAAUUUCUGUUCAUUCCAUGCAGCUCGGGCAAGCUGAAAGGUUGGUCACUCAACUGGGGCAUGCAGAGAUAUCUCUAUCUAGCUGCAAGAGAAGCUUGGAAAUGCAGCUUUGAUUCUGAGUACACACAUGCCCAGCAAAGAAUCUGGCAUGACAACAGAAGAGGAUUACACAUAUUGGGGCUAUGUUGUGAGGCAAAAUCAGCUCUUUGAGGUUUCAGGAAACCAAAGCCCAUCCUCAAAAAAAGAAAGAAAAGAAGUCUCGGUUUUUAAUGCGACCUUUCUUGGCUUCUGA